GUCAAAUCAUCAUGCCCCUUAUGACCUGGGCUACACACGUGCUACAAUGGACGGUACAAACGGUUGCCAACCCGCGAGGGGGAGCUAAUCCCAAAAAGCCGGUCGUAGUCCGGAUCGGAGUCUGCAACUCGACUCCGUGAAGUCGGAAUCGCUAGUAAUCGCGGAUCAGCAAUGCCGCGGUGAAUACGUUCCCGGGUCUU
RNAcentral lists this ribosomal RNA (200 nucleotides) under uncultured organism. RNAcentral's name for it is "partial small subunit ribosomal RNA". It matches the Rfam family "Bacterial small subunit ribosomal RNA", at positions 1184 to 1382 of the family's 1533-position model. The record is from RNAcentral.